UUAUUAUCUCUUGCUAUUUAGUUUCACUUUCUCUUUGCUAUUAAAACAGAUCACUUCAAACCACAACUGCAGUACAGUCAACAGAAAAGAAUCCCAGAGCUGCAGGAUCCAUGUUGGAACACAGAGUGGCACACAAGAUGAAAUACUACACAGUUGAGACUGGCAAUACUUUGGAUUCUCACAUUCAGUUUAUGAGACGACUCAACAACACCACAAGGUGUUUUACGGAAGUCAAGUCUCCAGAGGAGAGUGAUGUCAUCAUGGCUUUCUGUCCCAUCGUCUCUCGCGCCGGGACUGAUAUUGAUGCAGCACUGCAACAGAUUCCAAAGGGUAAAGAUGUCAUUCUGGUAGUGCUGCAUCACACCUUCAACCCAGACGACACUGUACCUUACAGCAGCAGACUAGUGACCAGAAGUGAUGUAAUACUCACAGUGGACUGUCUGUUCCAUGAGAGACUGGGAGGACUACUGGACUGUCCUCGCAAUGAUGCAGCAGUCAGAAAUAUUAGGCAGAAGUUUGACACAGUGGACUGUCUGUUCCAUGAGAGCCAGGGACUACUGGACUGUCCUCGCAAUGAUGCAGCAGUCAGAAAUAUUAGGCAGAAGUUUGACAUAGAUCCUAUGGCCAGAAAUUGUGACUGUCUAGCUUGGAUUCUAAACGCUGCCAUGGGGUUACUGUCUUUAUGCCGCAACUGCCCUUGUAUGGUGUUUUCUUACAUGAUGGGGCUCAUCUCAGGCAAAAAUCCAUGUCCCUUUGCAAGACCUCAUUCCAGAAAUGAAGACUAUUUACAUUUGGCCCAACUAUGAACAUGUGAUAAUAUAUAGUGUGACUCCUGUAAACGUGAUGAUCAAUUCCCUUAGAGAACAAAUGUUAUGGAUUACAUCUUUAAUUGCAUGUCAUUUAGGCCUACUUGAGAAAGUACAGAUAAUUUACAGUGGUAAUGUAUGGAAUUAGGCCUGGCUGUAUCAAUGUAACAAUAAUAUGGAAAUAAAAAAGAAACUGGAUUUGUGGAAGGGCACGAGUCUCAACAUCACUGGUUAUACCCUAGAGUAAAAACAAUGUAUAUAUUUCCUGAGUUUUCUUAUAUCUCUUAGAUAUAGGACAGACACUUCAAAACCUUAUUACUUAUGAUUUUUUUGUGAUUUUUUUGCCAUUUAUGCAUGUGUUAUUCAUUGCGUUUCUA
This is a long non-coding RNA of Oncorhynchus tshawytscha (Chinook salmon), 1183 nucleotides long. The record is from Ensembl. NCBI's taxonomy places the organism in Eukaryota, Metazoa, Chordata, Actinopteri, Salmoniformes, Salmonidae.